UCUUAUGUACAUGCUUAUAGACUUAAUGCACAGGAUCCCAUUAGAAAUCUGUAGUUAAGCGUACUUGGGCUAGAGUAGUACUGGGAUGGGUAACUGCUUGGGAAGUCCUAGUGUUUUACAUGCC
This is a non-coding RNA of Picea glauca (white spruce), 124 nucleotides long. NCBI's taxonomy places the organism in Eukaryota, Viridiplantae, Streptophyta, Pinopsida, Pinales, Pinaceae. The record is from Rfam.